GCGUAGAACCUGAAGUUCACAAGUAUCUUUUCUUGUUCUUAAAAUUUGUUGCAUCUGUUAUUCCAACUAUCGAAUAUGAUUACACUAUGGACUUCGAUCUUGGUGGCCCUAGCAGUCGAUAACUGGGAUUGAUAAGCAUUCGAUGCAGAUCCGAUUAUACAUACGUGUGGGAUAUUUCACAUCUGAUGUUUCGACAAAUACAGGAUGAGCCUCUGCUCCUUGUACAUACACAACAUGUGGUCUAAGUGGUACCCUCUUUGGAUAUAUUUAGUGUUGCAAUUGCUUUCUGUCCGUCUUAUUUU
This 302-nucleotide unclassified non-coding RNA is filed under the name Hevea brasiliensis (rubber tree). Lineage: Eukaryota; Viridiplantae; Streptophyta; Magnoliopsida; Malpighiales; Euphorbiaceae. The record is from RNAcentral.